This 1111-nucleotide long non-coding RNA is filed under the name Zostera marina. Its description in RNAcentral is "long non-coding RNA (ZMAR_LNC004122)". The record is from RNAcentral. Lineage: Eukaryota; Viridiplantae; Streptophyta; Magnoliopsida; Alismatales; Zosteraceae.
AUUAGUGUUGUACUGCAUAUUCCUGAUGUUGGAAGCGACAACCACUUGGAGAGGACUACCGGACUGGACACUCUCGAGUCUCCAUCACUACUAGGCAAUCACCACACUGUUGCUCUGUUUGUUUCUUUACUGAUGUUUGAUGUUGUGUGUGUUUUAUUUUCCCGGUUUUAAGCGAUUGCAAUGUUGCAUCAUUUGCAUGCAUCUCUGCCCAUUAAUCAUUCUUUUUUUUCUUUCUUUUUUCAUCUUUCAUCAUGUUUUGAUGCUCGUGAAUUUCUUGGAUUCUCUCUCUCAUGAAUCCAUGAUGCUGUAGAAUGUAGAAUUUGAUGGUGUAUUUUUAACCAAUUUUUUCUACGGAAUUCGAGAUGUUCUUAGCCCAUCCAGUUUUAAAUCUUACUAAUCUGUUUUUACAAGGAAUAAAUUAGCUGAACCCAUGAUUCCACGUAGUUAAUUCUAGUUAACAUAAAUUUCACUAUCAUAUUUUCGUUAAAUCCUAAAUUUAAUUUCUUAAUGGAUUUCUUUGUUCCGCCUGAUUUAAAAUUUAUUUGACACGUAUUUGCCAGUUAUCUAAACUCAUAAACCCUAAAAUAUUUAUUACACCACUCGUGUAGUCGUGUGUAGAACAGUAGGUGUAGUAUAAACUACUGUAUGUACUGUUUCUGCAUGUAGCUGCAUUGCUGUAAAUAAUAAACUGACGGCAAUCAAUCACAUUGACAUUGUUCUGGUUUUUUUUUCCCAACGUCAGUGAUCAGUGCAAGUUCAUUGAUCCAGAAAUUUAAAAAAAUGGCAAGUGUUUUAAAUAGUGAACAAUAAAACCCUUUCUAUAAGAAACACCCAACUUUUCUCUCCACCCAAGACAGUGAUUAUUUAUUAGGGAAGAGUGAAGACACACACAAAUUACAAUAGUCUGUUUUAAUAUUUUAUUUUAUUCACUCGCAAUUAUUCACACACAAAUCUGUUUUUAAAUAGUGAACAAUGUGUUAACAGAUUACACAUAAUCGAAAUUAAUGAGCAUUAUUCAAAAUUGAUGACAUAUUGUCAUAUUGAUAUCUAUAACUUAUUAAAAUUAUAGAUAUCCUAAUCUGUAAAUAUUAUAAAUAUAAAUUAUCUGCAU